Molecule: small RNA, 998 nt
Filed under: Pan troglodytes (chimpanzee)
Lineage: Eukaryota; Metazoa; Chordata; Mammalia; Primates; Hominidae
Description: retained intron
Source: RNAcentral
UGACAAUCCGAUUCUGGUACUGCAUGGAACACAGCAAGCCUGUGGUGUUAUCAUUGGAGACCUUGAGAUGCCAGGUGGAGAACCUUCAGUCUCUGCAAGAUGAAGCUGAGAGCAGUGAAGGGAGUUGGGAGAAACUCCAGGAGGUUAUUGGCAAACUCAAAGGUCUCUGCCCCUCUGUUGCUGAAAUAAUCGAAGAGAAAUGCCAAAAUACUCAUAAAAGGUGGACUCAGGUGAACCAAGCCAUUGCAGACCAGUUGCAGAAGGCCCAGAGUCUGCUCCAGCUCUGGAAGGCCUAUAGCAAUGCUCAUAGUGAAGCUGCCGCAAGGCUGAAGCAGCAGGAAGCAAAGUUUCAGCAGCUCGCAAACAUCAGCAUGUCUGGAAACAACCUGGCAGAGAUCCUGCCCCCAGCCCUGCAGGACAUAAAGGUGGGUACAAAGCCCAUUUGGAAAACCAAGGCCAAGUCAGCCCAACAGAUGGGGUAAGGGACAGCCAUGACCUGGGGACCAGACAGACCACAGGGACAGAGUAGUCAGGACAGGUGCUGUGAACUUGGCAUGUAGGACAUAGGCAAGGCUGGGAGGACCAGGUGGUGGCUCAGAGGUGACGUCUAGGCAGCAAAUAGCUGGAUCAGGGGGACUCAAUAUCACCUCGUUCCAAGUCUGUGCUUUCUCUCUAGUGUUACAUCUCUAAGGCAAAAGCUUCAUAUGAAAUCUGAAGUAAAAGCAAGUGUCUCAACUGAGUGUGACCCUGUAAGAAUAAUACAUGUUGUAUCUCUUGUUUUAGCAAUAAUCAUGGACUUGGUGCCAUGUUGCUAGGCCUUUUCUGUGGGUAUAGUAAAUUUCAGACUACAUUAAAGACUUGCAUAGUUUCCCCUAUGGUGUUUUUUCUAUUAUUGUUAAUGAACGCUCAGAAAGUGAAUACUCUUUAGUUCUGAACUGAGUGAACAGAUGCAUUUUGUAUCUUCUGCUACUGUAGGUCAAAUCAAAACGUGGCAACCA